GUAAGUUUUAUUUGUGACGCGAUUUCGUUUAUCUUCCGCAGAAACUGUUAAGCUCACAAUGCUGAUAUGUUGUUGUCGGCCACGUGUGUAGAUUGACACCGCGAUCGUGGAACACAUGGCUGAUCUGCCUCGAAUAACUGCAAGCCGGCGCGUGCGUAGUGCCGUGGAGAACAAUCAGAAGUCCUGGACGACAAAGAAAAAAACUUCAAAGCUGCUUCUAGUAGUGGUGCCCCUGGUGUGCACCUUUACCCCAAAUGUCUGCACCUUUGCCUACCGGUAAUGACAUAGAAUGUGCUCAGCUUCCUGGACAUAGGCAUGCAGGUUACGAGACGGAAAACGUGCAGCUUAGACUUCAUGCUUGCAAAUGCGAAAGUCGUAACCGACAUAAUUAGAGUAAGCUAAAAGGAGAAAUUUCUGCUUAUGAGCAAGUAAUUAUGAAGCAGGUUUUACUCCUCUUAAACUAGCAGACAUGCAACAACACAGUUGUGCUAUGUUUGUUUUGUGCGCCACUUUCAUGCAUAUUUGUGCUUGCAGUGGAUAUGCAUAUACAUGAAGGAUUUGUUUUUGUUUUCCUCAGCUGCCUCUGCGAACCCCGCUCUUGGACAACAGCUGGGAGGCUCUGUAUUUAAACGCGUGCACCUUGGACGUCAUGCUCCUGCCUCUGCAAGCCCUUUUGCUGGACGCCAUGGAAGGCCCUCCACUCGAAAGUGUGCACCUUAGACUACACGCUCAUCAAUACCAAGUUCUCUGUCCUUCUCGGCAUGAUUGU
Long non-coding RNA from Rhipicephalus sanguineus (brown dog tick), 769 nucleotides. RefSeq lists it as uncharacterized. The record is from RefSeq and is a predicted model, not a curated record. The transcript has 3 exons. NCBI's taxonomy places the organism in Eukaryota, Metazoa, Arthropoda, Arachnida, Ixodida, Ixodidae.